RNAcentral lists this ribosomal RNA (497 nucleotides) under uncultured bacterium. Its description in RNAcentral is "partial 16S ribosomal RNA". It matches the Rfam family "Bacterial small subunit ribosomal RNA", at positions 28 to 507 of the family's 1533-position model. The record is from RNAcentral.
GAUGAACGCUGGCGGCGUGCCUAAUACAUGCAAGUCGAGCGAACGGACGAGAAGCUUGCUUCUCUGAUGUUAGCGGCGGACGGGUGAGUAACACGUGGAUAACCUACCUAUAAGACUGGGAUAACUUCGGGAAACCGGAGCUAAUACCGGAUAAUAUUUUGAACCGCAUGGUUCAAAAGUGAAAGACGGUCUUGGUGUCACUUAUAGAUGGAUCCGCGCUGCAUUAGCUAGUUGGUAAGGUAACGGCUUACCAAGGCAACGAUGGAUAGCCGACCUGAGGGGGUGAUCGGCCACACUGGAACUGAGACACGGUCCAGACGCCUACGGGAGGCAGCAGUAGGGAAUCUUCCGCAAUGGGCGAAAGCCUGACGGAGCAACGCCGCGUGAGUGAUGAAGGUCUUCGGAUCGUAAAGCUCUGUUAUUAGGGAAGAACAUAUGUGUAAGUAACUGUGCACAUCUUGACGGUACCUAAUCAGAAAGCCACGGCUAACUACGUG